Molecule: RNase P RNA, 339 nt
Filed under: Chloroflexota bacterium
Lineage: Bacteria; Bacillati; Chloroflexota
Description: Chloroflexi bacterium RNase P RNA component class A
Rfam family: Bacterial RNase P class A
About the family: Ribonuclease P (RNase P) is a ubiquitous endoribonuclease, found in archaea, bacteria and eukarya as well as chloroplasts and mitochondria.
Source: RNAcentral
UGAGUAAGACAGGCAAUCGCGAACUGCAAAGUUCGAGGAAAGUCCGAACUCCACAGAGCAGAAUGCUGGCUAACGGCCAGUGAGGGCGACCUCAAGGAAAGUGCCACAGAAACAUACCGCCCGGCGACACCCAUACAUCGCACCACCACUUGUUGCCGGGUAAGGGCGAAAUGGUGAGGUAAGAGCUCACCAGCAGUUAGGUGACUAACUGGCUGGGUAAACCCCAUUCGGAGCAAGACCAAGCAGGAGGGAUGAACUGGCGUCCUAGAUAGAUGAUUGCCCCCUGUGUGGCCGCGAGGCCACGGAGGCACAGAAUUCGGCUUAUGACUUGCUCACCCC